This 28-nucleotide non-coding RNA is filed under the name Rattus norvegicus (Norway rat). The record is from RNAcentral. Lineage: Eukaryota; Metazoa; Chordata; Mammalia; Rodentia; Muridae.
UAGAUUUUCCUGACUGUGCGCUCUGCUC